This 301-nucleotide ribosomal RNA is filed under the name uncultured bacterium. Its description in RNAcentral is "partial 16S ribosomal RNA". It matches the Rfam family "Bacterial small subunit ribosomal RNA", at positions 509 to 807 of the family's 1533-position model. The record is from RNAcentral.
CAGCCGCCGCGGUAACACGUAGGUGGCAAGCGUUGUCCGGAAUUAUUGGGCGUAAAGGGCACGCAGGCGGUUUCUUAAGUCUGAUGUGAAAGCCCCCGGCUCAACCGGGGAGGGUCAUUGGAAACUGGGAAACUUGAGUGCAGAAGAGGAGAGUGGAAUUCCACGUGUAGCGGUGAAAUGCGUAGAGAUGUGGAGGAACACCAGUGGCGAAGGCGACUCUCUGGUCUGUAACUAACGCUGAGGAGCGAAAGCGUGGGGAGCGAACAGGAUUAGAUACCCCUGUAGUCCCUGUCUCUUAUAC